UGUUAAUUGUCCUUUUGUUGUUUCUCCUUUUCUGGUUUUCUUGUAUGUUCUGUCUUCUUUUGGGUGAUUUUUAUUUCUCUUUCUGUUUUGCCAUUUGGUAGGGCCAUUACUCUAAAGCAUCCUUGGGUCGGUGAAAAGUGCUAUAUAAAUUAAACUACUUGUCACACUGCAAAAAUUGUACAGGAGUGAUUUGAGGAAUAUGACAGAGUUCAAAGUGUGGAUUUAGCCUUCAAAUUCCGCAAAUCUCAAUCCAAUCAAGCAUCUUUGAGAUGUGCUGGAUAAAGUCUGAGUCACAGAAACCCCACCUCGCAACUUGCAGGACUUAAAGGAUCUGCUGCCAGCAUCUUGGUGCUGGAUACCACGGCACCUUCAGAGGUCUUGUUCAGUCUAUGUGUCAAAAGAUUAGAGCUGUUUUGGCAGCACAAGGGGGGACCUAUACAAUAUUAGACAGGUGGUUUUAAUGUUAUAGCUGAUCAGUGUAUAAUGCUCCUUUUUUACUGAUGGAUAGGAAAAAAUGUGGCUGACACAUGGUGCAUAUUAACACCUGGGCUACAGCUUGCACGCAUAUGGUAGGUGUAGUUGAUAAAAUGGCCAAUGAGUGUAGUGAUAACUGAGUUUUGUUCAACAGAUAGCCCUGCUUUUGCUGGAAAAUGGUGCUGACCCUAAUGCCACAGAUAAACUAAGAUCCACACCUCUACACAGAGCCUCAGCAAAGGGGAACUAUCGCCUGAUCCAACUUCUCUUAAAACAGAGCGCUUCUACUAAUAUUCAGGACUCUGAGGGCAAUACACCACUCCAUCUUGCAUGUGAUGAGGAGCGAGCAGAAGCUGCAAAGCUCUUAGUCGAACAUGGUGCCAGCAUUUACAUUGAGAAUAAGGAAGAAAAGACACCUUUACAGAUUGCCAAAGGUGGACUUGGUAAUGUUCUUCGGAGGAUUGUCGAAGGCUGAAGUGAUUAUGAGAAGGUUUACGCAUCAGCUACUUCAGGCUGGUCAGUUCUACAGACAUGAGUUUCUGUCCCAGAAGAUGGCCAACAAAAUAUUUUCAUGAAUUAAAAGAAAGAAACAAGAGCCAAGACGCGUGUGUGUGUGUGUGUGUGUGUAGCCUGAAAAGUACAUGGUCAAUGUUUGUGAAAGAUUUUCUUCAUCUUUGUAUUGUGGUUUAAUAAAACAUUCACUUCUCUUCAAAUAACAUCUGACACAUGGGAUUUUAAUCUGUCUUUUUGUUUUGUUUUAUUUUUUAGGUGGCGCAAGUUUAACAUUUUGAAAUCUUAUACAUCAUUAGUUUAUAGAUAUUUAGUUCACAAUUAUGUUUCACAGGGAAAUGAUUAAAUACAGCUUAUAUUGUUUGCUUUUCAGACAUAACUAUACAAUAUGCUAUAGAACUUACAGAUAUGAAAAAAUGCUUGCAAUAAAUAUUUUAGGAAAAAAAAUCCUCGAGCAAUCACUUGAUGCUUAUUCAUGAAAAAUGUUUGCAGACUUGCUUUAGUAGACAGGUUUGUUGUCCAAAAAGAGGAAUUUGAAUUUGCACUGUUUGACCCAAGAGUUGUAAUAAACCCAGUUGUGGCAGCA
Molecule: long non-coding RNA, 1570 nt
Organism: Neoarius graeffei (lesser salmon catfish)
Lineage: Eukaryota; Metazoa; Chordata; Actinopteri; Siluriformes; Ariidae
Exons: 2
Source: RefSeq, a predicted model, not a curated record